GGGGGUGUCCAUCUCUUCCCAAUCCACAUGCCGUGAUGUCCUGUUGGUGACUCGAAGUUGGCCACACUGGACCCUGGGUACCUGGCUGAAGACUUUGGACUUUAACCUGGAGAUGAUGGAGAGUAUGCAGGAUAAAGUCCAUACCAAAUCCAACGCCUAGCAAAUGGAGAACAAGCCAAAACUAACAAGAUAAAAUGUAGCAGGAAAAAGUGCAAAGAGCUGAAGUGUGGAAUAAGUGGGAGAGGUCUGCCAUGCCCUAUCUGACCUUGCUGCCAUGAUCUUUAAGGCUGUGUGUCCUGGUUGGUGCAGCUACAAGAUGGCAGAAAUGCCUAAGUGAUGGUAUGGAACAGAGGAUCCCUCUUCUCACCAUUGUCUUGCAUGUUUCCUUGUGUGAACCACAAAUAAACUUUUGUUAUGUUAAGCUGC
RNAcentral lists this long non-coding RNA (426 nucleotides) under Homo sapiens (human). RNAcentral describes it as "non-protein coding lnc-LAMB3-1:10". The record is from RNAcentral. Lineage: Eukaryota; Metazoa; Chordata; Mammalia; Primates; Hominidae.